This 158-nucleotide ribosomal RNA is filed under the name Roussoella hysterioides. RNAcentral describes it as "5.8S rRNA". It matches the Rfam family "5.8S ribosomal RNA". From Rfam's summary of the family: 5.8S ribosomal RNA (5.8S rRNA) is a component of the large subunit of the eukaryotic ribosome. It is transcribed by RNA polymerase I as part of the 45S precursor that also contains 18S and 28S rRNA. Functionally, it is thought that 5.8S rRNA may be involved in ribosome translocation. The record is from RNAcentral. Lineage: Eukaryota; Fungi; Ascomycota; Dothideomycetes; Pleosporales; Thyridariaceae.
AACUUUCAACAAUGGAUCUCUUGGUUCUGGCAUCGAUGAAGAACGCAGCGAAAUGCGACUAGCUAGUGUGAAUUGCAGAAUUCAGUGAAUCAUCGAAUCUUUGAACGCACAUUGCGCCCUUUGGCAUUCCAUAGGGCAUGCCUGUUCGAGCGUUAUUU